AGUGAACGCUGGCGGCAGGCCUAAUACAUGCAAGUCGAACGGCAGCACAGCAGAGCUUGCUCUGUGGGUGGCGAGUGGCGGACGGGUGAGGAAUACGUGGGAAUCUGCCCAGUCGUGGGGGAUAACGUAGGGAAACUUACGCUAAUACCGCAUGCGCCCUUCGGGGAAAGCCGGGGACCUUCGGGCCUGGCGCGAUUGGAUGAGCCCACGUCGGAUUAGCUAGUUGGCGGGGUAAAGGCCCACCAAGGCGACGAUCCGUAGCUGGUCUGAGAGGAUGAUCAGCCACACUGGAACUGAGACACGGUCCAGACUCCUACGGGAGGCAGCAGUAGGGAAUAUUGGACAAUGGGCGCAAGCCUGAUCCAGCCAUGCCGCGUGAGUGAAGAAGGCCCUCGGGUUGUAAAGCUCUUUUGUCCGGAAAGGAAAGCGCCGGGUUAAUACCCUGGUGUCCUGACGGUACCGGAAGAAUAAGCACCGGCUAACUUCGUGCCAGCAGCCGCGGUAA
RNAcentral lists this ribosomal RNA (505 nucleotides) under uncultured bacterium. Its description in RNAcentral is "bacterial SSU rRNA". It matches the Rfam family "Bacterial small subunit ribosomal RNA", at positions 29 to 523 of the family's 1533-position model. The record is from RNAcentral.